AGUGAACGCUGGCGGUAGGCCUAACACAUGCAAGUCGAACGGCAGCACAGUAAGAGCUUGCUCUUACGGGUGGCGAGUGUCGGACGGGUGAGGAAUACAUCGGCAUCUACUUUUUCGUGGGGGAUAACGUAGGGAAAAUUACGCUAAUACCGCAUACGACCUACGGGUGAAAGCAGGGGAUCUUCGGACCUUGCGCGAUUGAAUGAGUCGAUGUCGGAUUAGCAAGUUGGCGGGGUAAAGGCCCACCAAGGGGACGAUCCGUAGCUGGUAUGAGAGGAUGAUCAGCCACACUGGAACUGAGACACGGCCCAGACGCCUAGGGAAGGCAGCAGUGGGGAAUAUUGGACAAUGGGCGCAAGCCUGAUCCAGCCAUACCGCGUGGGUGAAGAAGGCCUUCGGGUUGUAAAGCCCUUUUGUUUGGAAAGAAAAGCAGCAGGUUAAUACCCCGCUGUUCUGACGGUACCCAAAGAAUAAGCACCGGCUAACUUCGUG
This 492-nucleotide ribosomal RNA is filed under the name uncultured bacterium. RNAcentral's name for it is "partial 16S ribosomal RNA". It matches the Rfam family "Bacterial small subunit ribosomal RNA", at positions 29 to 507 of the family's 1533-position model. The record is from RNAcentral.